GUCAGACAACGAAGUUUAGAAGUUGACAGUUUUCCGCGAGUUUUUCUUGUGAGCUAUGAAAAAGAGAAAUAGUUAAAACAAAAAGAAAACAUAAGUAUUGCACAUGAUUUCUAUGCCAAUUGGAAUUUUAGUGAAGUGAAAUAUUUAAAACAAAUUGAUUUUUUCGUCUCGAGGGGUAAACAAAAGAAAAUGAAUGUGUGACAAACCCUUAAAAACGCAACAUCUGAAAGUAGAAAAAGAAAAGCUAAGGCAGUCGCAGCACCCAAACAAAAAGUGUAUACAAAAAUUAAGAAGGUGAAUAAAUCUUAGAGAAAUCACAGAGUUUUGUGUCUAUUGGCGAAAAAGAAGUGGAAUAGUUUUGUGUGUGGGAGACAAGUGCACGAAUAAUUCAAUAAUUUACAAAUAUUUGUGAAUUUUGUGAGGGUAGAAAAAGAAUAAUUUGUGAAACAAGGCUUACUAUUUCUUUUUUGGAAGGGGGUUUAUCAUCGUCAUCGUAUUGGCGUACACCAGUACUCGCAGAUAUCAACAACAAAUCUCUGCAGCCAGCAGCCACCGUCGCAGCAGCAGCAGCAAAAAACAAACAAAAAAUUUUCACUUUGCAGUGUCUGUCGUCGUCUCAUCAACGUUUUUUUUUGCUUUGAAUCAUUAGAAAAUUAAUAAAGAUUCCACAACAGCACCAUAACUCAUAUGGCACAUCGAACGAUCAUGUUGAAAACAAAUUAAUUUUCCAAAAUUGAAAAUUUGGAAACCAUACAAACCACAAAAGCAACAACAAAUAAAAAGGUUCCUAAGGAGUGGCAACAAAUUUGCUACCAAACUUACAACCAAUCCAGCAACUGCUCUCCUUACCCAUUCAAAUUGCUUGCUGCUAACAGACCGAACACCGCAAAAACAACAAAACAUUGGCAAUGACCCUAACAACAGCUUCAGCCACAACUGCCGCCACAAAUCAGCCCACCUCACUACCCCUGACGACGUCAACGGAAAGCGCCAGUAAAAAAAUGGAUAUUAAAUGUCCCGUUGCCGCCGUUGCUGUAGCUGAGGAAAAUCUACCCACCUCUGAAAUGGAUCUCUUGGCCAAAUUGGAAGCUGCCAAUAAGUUAAUUGAAAGCGACGCCAAAUCCUUGAAUUCUUUGCAUUCCACACACAGUCGCAAGAAUUCCGAUACCAGUCAAAUAAGUAUUACCAGUCAGAAUGGCAACUCCGUAGCCGAAGAGGAUAUCUGGACCACAUGGGCCACAAUUCUAAGCGAUUGGGAGGGUGCAUUGAAAAGGAAAAAUCCAUGUGUUCGUGAAUUGGUGCGUCGUGGCAUACCGCAUCAUUUUAGAGCCAUCGUUUGGCAACAGUUGUGCGGUGCCAGUGAUGCAGAUAAAAAACAAUAUGCCGAAUAUAUAAAGGCCACAUCGGCAUGUGAGAAAGUGAUACGUCGAGACAUUGCUCGCACGUAUCCAGAAGUUGAUUUUUUCAAAGAAAAAGAUGGACCCGGCCAGGAAGCUCUCUUCAAUGUAAUCAAAGCCUAUUCACUGCAUGAUCGUGAAGUUGGAUAUUGCCAGGGAUCUGGUUUCAUUGUUGGCCUACUACUCAUGCAUAUGCCCGAGGAGGAAGCAUUUGCCGUCUUAGUACAAAUAAUGCAACAGCAUCGUAUGCGUGAUAUGUUCAAGCCAUCAAUGUCUGAAUUGGGGCUGUGCAUGUAUCAGUUGGAGAAUUUGGUACAGGAGCAGAUACCCGAAAUGCAUAUACACUUCCAGCAACAGGGAUUCCAAACAACCAUGUAUGCUUCCAGUUGGUUCCUUACCUUGUAUACCACAUCAUUAAGCUUAAACAUCAGCAGUCUUAUAAUGGAUGUAUUCCUUAGCGAGGGCAUGGAAUUUAUUUUCAAAGUUGCCUUGGCCCUGUUGCUGUUGGGCAAGGACACACUGUUGUCAUUGGAUAUGGAGGCUAUGUUAAAGUAUUUCCAAAAAGAACUUCCCAAAAAAGUUGAGGCCGAUCCCGAUGCUUUCUUCCAAUUGGCCUAUUCCAUAAAAAUCAAUACGAAACGCAUGAAGAAAAUGGAAAAAGAAUAUCAAGAUGUUAAGAAAAAGGAACAAGAAGAAAUGGUUGAACUGAGACGUUUGCGAAGAGAAAAUCGUUUACUGAAGCAACGCAAUGAUCUAUUGGAGGCUGAGUCUGCAGAAUUGGCUGAUCGUUUGGUCAGAGGACAAGUGUCCAGGGCCGAAGAGGAGGAAACAAGCUUUGCUAUACAAACCGAACUAAUGCAGUUGCGUCGCUCUUAUUUGGAAAUCUCUCAUCAAUUGGAAAAUGCCAACGAAGAAGUUCGUGGUCUAAGUUUACGUUUACAGGAAAAUACUGAUCCUUUGGGAAGCAACAACUCCCGUCAAUCAUCGCUCGAUGAACUUUGCAUGAAAGAAGAAGCUCUCAAGCAGCGCGAUGAAAUGGUCUCAUGCCUACUCGAGGAAUUGGUUAAGGUACGACAAAGUUUGGCCGAGAGUGAAGAUCAAAUACGCAACCUGAAGGCCAAAGUCGAAGAGCUGGAGGAAGAUAAAAAGACUUUACGUGAAACCACACCCGACAAUUCGGUGGCCCAUCUACAGGAUGAACUAAUAGCCAGUAAAUUGCGAGAGGCUGAGGCCAGUCUCUCGCUGAAAGAUCUCAAACAAAGGGUACAAGAGCUAAGCAAUCAAUGGCAACGUCAGUUGCAGGAACAACGCAACGAUCACAAUUCCCACCCCGUUGAUUCGACACCAAAGAAACUACUCACCAAUCUCUUCGAUUCAUCCAAAUCGAAUGAACAUACCCAGAAAUUGGAAGAAGAAUUGAUGACAACCCGCAUUCGUGAAAUGGAAACUCUAACCGAGUUGAAAGAGCUACGUCUCAAAGUAAUGGAGCUGGAAACUCAAGUCCAGGUCUCAACAAAUCAACUGCGUCGCCAGGAUGAGGAGAAUAAGAAAUUGAAGGAGGAACUGGAUUCAGCUCUGAUGCGUGAAAAGGAAAUGGCCAACAAGGCCAGGGAACAGCAGCAUAGAUACUCUGAUUUGGAAUCUCGCAUGAAGGACGAACUGAUGAAUGUCAAAAUUAAAUUCACCGAACAGUCACAGACCGUGGCCGAAUUGAAACAGGAAAUUUCCAGAUUAGAAACAAAGAAUUCUGAAAUGUUGGCAGAAGGUGAACUACGUUCUAAUUUAGAUGAUUCCGAUAAAGUACGUGAUCUGCAGGACAGAAUCGCCGACUUGAAAGCAGAGUAUACUACGCCCAUAACAAGUCCCGAUACAGAACCUUGGAAGUGGAUAAGUUAAACAUACUUAUGUCCGAAAUUAAAUGAAAACAAUUGAACCAAAAAACACAGCAAAAGAAAAAAAAAACGAAAACGCAAAACCAUACGCACUUAAACCCGAAUAAAAGAACAAACCCAGAUCAGUUAACAGCAUUAAAGAGUAGAGGAAAAUUCAUACCAGCCUCCAAGCUAAGAAGUUCUUCGAUACAAUCCAUUGAAUCGGCCGAAAGUGAUUUUAAUGACAUCAUAAAUAUGCGCAGAGAAAGCACCGAAUUAUCAUCAUAAUGUUUAAAGAAAAUUAAAUAUUAGAAUUAAAAAAACAAA
This is an RNA transcript of Musca domestica (house fly), 3595 nucleotides long. It is a transcript of the gene named ecotropic viral integration site 5 ortholog, with no coding region annotated. The record is from RefSeq and is a predicted model, not a curated record. NCBI's taxonomy places the organism in Eukaryota, Metazoa, Arthropoda, Insecta, Diptera, Muscidae. The transcript is spliced from 13 exons.